Molecule: non-coding RNA, 81 nt
Organism: Cajanus cajan (pigeon pea)
Lineage: Eukaryota; Viridiplantae; Streptophyta; Magnoliopsida; Fabales; Fabaceae
Source: Rfam
AGCAAAAUGAUGAAGUCAAAAAAUGUCUGAAACUGAUGAAGAUAUAUUGAUUCAUAAGGUCUUCAAAGUUCUCUGAUUGCU